Non-coding RNA from Pelobates cultripes (western spadefoot toad), 225 nucleotides. The record is from the annotation of a GenBank genome assembly. Lineage: Eukaryota; Metazoa; Chordata; Amphibia; Anura; Pelobatidae.
GGGGUCUGGAGCAGAUUAAUCACAUUUACAUUAAUUCUUAUGGGAAACGUUGAUUUGGUCCUCGAACAAAUGGGAACUUGAACAGCCUUCUGGAACAGAUUAAGUUUCAGUUCCGAGGUUCCUCUGUAAUAAUUUGUACAGUCCUAUUUGUCCAGCAUGAAAUAUUCCAGUGUAUAAUCUUAUCACCAUUGUGUCAGGUAUUGGAAAUACCAUCCCUAUAAUAAC